CGAGACGGGGAGAAUGAGAGAACAAGAGGUUUUGUUUAGUGAACGAGUCCCUUUGCAAGAGUUACUCACCCAAGCUCACCCCAUCGUUCAGAUCCCCAUAGUGCCCAGGUCCCCUCCUCUAAUCCUCCACCAUCUUUUCUGCUGAAACAUCUCUGUCAGUCCGUUGUUCUGUCUUUUUUCUCAUUUCUGCCUGAGGCAAAAUGUCAGUCGCUAGAUCUGUGCAGCCAGAAUAGCAUUCGUAUACUUACAGGGGAACACAUUUCCAGUAUAGUUGUCUGAAAUGACCACAUGAACAGCAAGUUUAGUGUCAGUGCUACUUUGGUGGAAUGAAAUGAAAAAAGGCAUACAAAAUGUGUACAGAUGUGUUCUCCUGAAAAAGUUUCUUAAUCUCCCCAAUACAUUCUGGUCUAUACCAGACUUAACAGUCAGAUCCUAUAGUUGAUAGUGACAGCCUAAAAAGCUUAAAGGUUGUGUAGAUGCAACACUAUACAUCACAUCAAAAUACCAAUCUGUAGUUUCUAAUCUGCUCUUUUUGCUGCCCAGAAAUGUUACUCCCCUCAAGUUACCAAACUCGACUCUGCUCAAGUUCAUUCCCAUGCUGUAGUGGAAUUAUUUAUCUCACAUAACCAGUGAUUAAUGGCGUCCAACAGGUGGGAUUGCUGAUGUCGUUGCCAAACAAGUUUUGCCAUUAUCAUCAGCUCUUUUAUUAUGGGAUGCUCCAAUUAGCUACCUUCAAGCUAACAUCUCUAUCACAGCAGCCCUUCAGACACUUUUUACAAAUCCCAUCCCGGCACCAGGCGGCACUGACCUAUUUAAAUUGCCGUUCAAAAGAGAACCUUAUUCUCACAAAACCGUAUCAUGGCGGUGAUUUCAUGUUGUACGCACACAGGUUCCCUGCCUGCCUUUUCACUGAAGAGUUUUCAAACACUUUCUGCCUGUCAGAGAAAUGUCUGCUGUUUUUUGCUUGUUCCUUUGUCGCUGUUGGCAGUUCUGGCAUAUGAAUAAAGUUGUAUCACACAUCCUUGAUACAAUAAAGUGACAUCACAGCCACUUAGAAGUUCAGGUGGUGUGUCUGUUCAAAUGUGUCUCUACACAAUGAAGAGUGACACACAAAUGAAGCCCCUCAAGCAACCUGAAAGAGUUGUAUUCAUUUUUAUAAAUGCCAUUCAUGUUUUGACCAAAUUAAGUUUUUGUUAACAUUUUGAGGGAUCAAUGGCGAUCCAGCAUGCUCUGGUAUCGUCUUAUUUUUUGGCUGAGAACAUUUUCUUCCAUUUUCAAACUUUAUUUUAAUUCUUUCAGUUAAACUUCUUAUAAUUCUGACAUAAUUACAGAGAAAAGUUGAAGCUUGUGUUUCUUCUUCUCUUUCAUAGUGAUUUAAAAACCCUGCAGAUUGAGAUGCAUAUUGAGUAAAAUAUCAGGAAUAACACUAGUCUAAUGUCCAAACCCUUUAACAAAAUGUCCUUCUGAGACAGUUGAAUGGAUUAGAGUCACACGCGUCAACUUAAAAAUGCCUCGUGAUUGAAAAAUGCAGAAACGUUGUGUUAAAAAUAAUAAAAUGCUGCAAGAAAUGUUAAAACCACACUUGCAGCUCAUGCUCGUUGAUGGCUGUGUCCGGCUGGCUGGAAAGAGCAGUCCGUUACAUGAGUUGGAUAGGUGGGAGGGAGACUGUUGUGACGUCAUCCUCCUGCACAUGUUGCUAAAUGGAUGGAAACCGUGGAAAAGAGCAGGUGUUUUCAAGAACAACUCUUGCCAAAGCCAGUCGGGAGGAGACAAAAAACAUCCUCUCUCCAUCAAAAGAAAACGUCCAUACUUAUUUUUAAAAUGAGACAUCUUCUUCAGACCAGUCAAAACUGAUGCACCUAUUUUAAAACUGACAACACAGGUCGUGAUCUCAUAAUCCCUCCAAACAUUAGAAGCUCUGUUUCCUUGACAAACAUUGAGAUAUUUGAAUCUUUAACCAUGUCUGCUUUGAUAGUCAGCAUUCUGCAAUAAUCAGCUUGCCCGACUACCCAGCUUACUGCCUACAGUGACCACAUAGUGGAUUCAUGGACGUAAACAUUAGGGACAGGCUUUAUUUAAAAGAAGAAAGAAAGAUGAACAAUGAACUUUCCCAUAAUAUCCACAACACUCUUGAUCACGGCAUGGCAGCAAUUAUUCUGCUUGUUAACUGCUCAUCCAUUUAAUAACGAUUACAGAUCUAAAAAGCAUUGUGUCACUGUCUCGGCUGUUGUGUUGUGUGAGCGUUGUAUAACCAGGAGCAGUUUGUCGGAUUAUAUUACAGAUAUCCCUGUCAGUGACAGCCACGUCUAAAAUAAACCAUCUGGAGCACUGUUCAGGUUUCUGCAUUAAGACGUGUGUAUGUAUUUGUGGCUUUUGUUUGAGCAUUUUUGUGUGGAAUAAUUCUAAUGGAAAAUUCUGAUGACUAACUUGCCAUCUGGCUUCCCUCGUCAAUGAGCCGUUUCAUCACCGAUGACUGACAUUGGUUGGUCACUUCACAGCUUGGUGAUUGGUCAUUGCCGACAUAUAACCAAUGACGAUUUGGUAUUUUUGAAAUAACGCAAACACACACAUUGGUGGAUUUAAGUAGAUCUCAGGACGGACAGGAAAAUGAUGUACAGGCUGUCACACAGAUCCAUUCACCUUUAGGAUAUAAAUAGGGUCUUAUUUUAUUUUCAUAAUCCAGCAAUUAUAAAUAGCCGGCUCUGCAUGUGGGUCAAUAUCGUAUUGAUUGAGACUAUAGGUUACCAGGAAGAGUAACAAGUUUAGCAUUAGUACAGUGCUGCUUUGACUAGAUGAUAGUACACAUUAAAGGUUACUAGUUAGCUCGGCAAAUUGCCUCCUUAAUGUGGAAGAGGAGUUUGAUCAUGUGAGGAAUGCUGUCCAGGGCAGAACAUGAGGCAAUUUGAGGAACUGCAGUUUUGACACUUUGUUGCAGCAUUUCAUGAUUCCAUUCAGGAAUGUGCAACUUGGGGUAAAAAAAACCCCAGUCUGUCCUGAUUGAACUACUGGUUUAUAACAAGCAUGUAUUUCUGGAAAAACUGCGAUUACAUUCUCUCCACUGGCCCCUUGAUCCAUUCUUUGAUCUGUCCUGUUACAGAAGUUUCUUAUUAAAGAGGUUGGUCUUGGUAUAUUAAACACCUGUUGAGUAGCCUCUGAGGGGCAUAUCAAUUGAUUUUCUUCCCUCACCUCGCACAGAGUCUAAAUCUGACAAUAUGCAUUGAUUCUUUUUCAAUCUCUCUCGCUCUCGGCCCCUCUUCCAUCUGUGCAUGGAGAUCUAAAUUUGUUUAGAUUUGUUUGUCAUCCUCCCACACUUUUCAGCUUUCCCCUCUCCUCUCUGCAUCCCUCUUUCACUCAUCCAAUCUGUCCUGGGCUACGAAUUUGUUUACAUUAUUCUGUCUGUCUUCACUAAGAAGGAAACUUAUCUAAUGUAUUUUCUUUGUUUUACCUUUGUUUUACCUUUCUUACGCUCUUUAAAAUCAAAGGACCCUGUGGUCAUACCUGGUUUAUUUUUAUGGGACACACACACCCCGCCUCACCCUUUCUUUGUCACUCGCAGACACAAACACAAAUGUGGACUCAACAUAGCGUGCAGCACACGCACACAAAUGCAUGCAGACGGAACGACGUCAGACUGCUUGUAGACAAGCGUCUGAAUCUUCCUGACAGGAUUGUCUCGGGGAAGGAAAUAAAAGAGAGGGUGGGAGCAGAGACGGGGAGUUGAGAGAGAAAAAGAGGGGAGAGGACACCAUUGAGAUAAAGAUGGCAGAAAGGGGAGAGGCGGUGAGGGUGAAGAGGAGAGGCAUAUAAGGAAAGGGAGAAAGAGUCACAGUGACACAUGAGGGCAAGUGUGUUGUGGUUGGCAGACAGCAGCUGGAGGGAAGGAUCAACUUAGCUGACACAUCAGUUCAUAUCACCGCCGAGCGGUGAGACAGAUGGGGGAGGGUGGGAUGGAGAGUUUUAAAAAAAAAAGGACAUGUGGUUGAGAAACGGACAGACAUCGACAUUGGAAAAUAAGAAGACAGCCAGGUGGAGAGAGAGGGAGGAUGACGGACUAAAACUGUGGGUUGUGUGAAGGGAAGGAGAGAACGGUGGCAGGACAGAGGAAGGAAAUACAUUUGGUUUGAUUGGUGAGGUGAGAGUUAGUAGGAGGAGAGUAGGAAAAGGAGACAGGAUUAUUUGAGAAGGGUGGAUCGGGAAAAUGUUGUAGAGGAGUGGUGAGUCGGGGUGAGUUUGCAAGAGGGAGAGCAUGAAGAGAAAUGGAAACAGAAAGACAGUAUAUGAUGGUUGUAUAUGUAUGAAACAUCAUGUGGCAUCAGUUGUAAAAAGCGAUUAGAGUAGAGUGACAUUUGAACGCACCAUCUCUUUUCGUCUUCUGCACUUUGCAUUAUAUUUCAGCCUCCUUAUUCAUUUUUCUCUUCCCCUUUUCCCCCAAGGCUGGUACUUGAGUCAAAGAAACUUUAAUAAUUCAGCCCAAAAUGACACAUUUUAUGUUCGCCCCUGCAUUUUCUAUGCAUGGGUGAAACAUCACAUUAUCAGAUAAUGUUUAUUGUAAACAAUAACAAAGUUGUUCAAUUUGCUUUAACGUUUUAUAUAAGGCAUUAUGGAGGCAUUACUUAAAAAAAGGUUUCUUAAGACAAUAAAAUAUCAGAGAAAAUACUGUAAAUGUCAAAGAGGACAAUUUUCUAAGGUAGCGGUCCGCUAAGCAACAUAGAAACAUUUAUUUAAGAAGUUGCGUUGAAUGCAUUUUAAUGUAAUUUGUAGUGAAAUUUUUGGUAUUCGAGAUUCAAAGGUUUUAUUUGUCACAUAACAUACAAUUUGCGCAAAUAAAAACAUUAAAGACUAAUGUGUAAUGAAGGUUAUGAGAGAAAAUAUAAGAAACUACAAAUAAUUAUUUAAAAAACAUACAAAAAUAUGUAAUGUCUGGCUAAUAAAGUCAAUAUUUUACUGUCCCAACAAACUCAAUAACUCUCAAAUAUAUGCAGCACCUAAAAUGUAGAACUGGUAACACAUUUGAUUAAUCUGAUGUUGUGGCUAAUGUGUUGCAGAACCCUGAUGUUAUUGAAGAACCAAACACAAGUUCAGUUCUAUCCACAGUCCCUGGAAUCAUUGACUUACUCCAGCUCACUAUCACAUGGAUAUACUUGUUGAUUUACUAACUGCAGAUAAGAGCUUCACAGAAAAGAGCUGAACGAUACCAAAAUAUUACCAUUUAACUUUGGAUCAGGCUGUAGUUCUAUUCAUGGUGCCUCUUCUCUCUCCUUCAACCUUUCAUUUAUCGAGUCUUUUGAUAAACGGGCCCUUUUUUCCUCAUUCUGGUGAAUUGCUCAACUUUAAAGCAGUCAUCACCUUUCACGCUCCUCCACCUUCCAGCAGGCGAAUCAGGCGUCCACACUGGGCAGCCUGAUCUCCAAAACCUGUUCGUAAAAAUAUAUGCGAAAAUCUUGAACAUACAAAUUCAUAGAGAUACAUACUAAAUAAAUACGGACUGCAACUGAUGAAGUCACCCUAUUCAUAGUGAAUGGGGACCUGCACCCCAUAAACACACUUUGUGAAGUCUAACGAUGUAAAAUAAACGUGUUAUGAUUGCAUUUUUAACGAGAAAUCAAUGUUAACUUGUAAGAAUAGAAUACUAUACUAACCCUAACCCCCUCAAAAAAAUCCACACUGUCGGAGAGACGUUCACUCAAGAAUCCAACAUGGUCCGCCAUGUGGUUCACUCAAGGGGCGUGGUUAACCACCGCCAGUUCGUAUGUAUUGUUACGAAUUUGUAUGUCCAGGAUUUUCGUAUACAUUUUUACGAAGAGGUUUUGGAGAUCACGUUGCACUGGGACAGUUUAGAAGACUCUCCCCUGCAGAGCACCUGGCUGCUUUAACCCAUGACUGCUGAGACUGUGCCAAAACUUCUCUCAAUGUAAUCGUUUUGUGUUCAACUGAAGGGGGCCUUCGGUUAAAUGCUUUUUCAAGGAAUAAGUCGAGCCAGGGGACCUAUUUCUUUCGAUUUAUUAUUCAUUUAAAAAAACACAUAGGAAUUCAUCACAUUUUGCAGAGUUUGCAAGCAAAACAUUCUGUUUUUCUACAGUUGAUCUUUUGUAAUGUUACUCAACUGCGUCAUAAUCAUCAGCUCAAUUGGGAAUCAUGGGAGAAAAAAUGCAAGGAAUGUAAUUAGGCCCUAAAAGCACAUUCUCAGUCACUCAAUUUUAUACAAAAAAUGGCUUGUUAUUGACCAAUAUUUCCCCUUUAGCUCAGCCAAGUUCAUUCAUUUUUGUGUCUUAGAUUAAAUAACAAAAUAUUUGCAUUUUUUUUCUCUGUGUCGUCAGUGUCGCACACAAACCAUACACAGCAAAACACCAAUGGUACUUGAAAGGUUGAUGCAACAUCUGUUUGGUCAACAGACAAAGCCGUUACCUGGUGGUAACGUACAUGUAUGUUCUGUGAGUACUUCAUCUGCUCAACGGGGCUCAGAGUAUUUGUUCACUAAAGCUGGCAUUCCACAUUAUGGCGUCUGAUAGCCUUUCUGUUCUCAUCAUCCCAUCAUCUUCAACUGCCAACCCGGGCUCGGCUCCGACUUCCCUUUCUGUUUCUAUCUGAUUUAAAACUCUUUCUUCUCUUCUCUUGUUUUUUGUAAAACUUGAACAAACACCUUUGUUUGCAGUAUCUUUAUCUAUGCUACAUUCAUAUCACCUAAUUGUUUAAUAUGCUUCUCAAUCUACUUUUUAUUUUUUUUAUUUGUGUAAAACAUUUUCUCUCCAAAAUGAUGCAAUACAUCUAUCAGCAGAUUUUUUUAGCAAGUGCAGUUUAAUUUAACAUCCAAGUCUAAAAUGUUUUUGACAUCAUAAGCAGGCAAGUUAAAAGGGUAAGGCCAUUAGUCAAAGUAAUGAAAUCAUUGCAUCAAGCUGAGUCUGCUUGUCAUGGCUACCAAACACAAUUAAGGAAAACUUUUAAAACCAAAGAAACAGAUCUAAUGGUGCAAUAUUUGGUACAAAGUGGACAAGAAACAAGUGAGAGAUUAUGAUAUGAUUCGAAAGGGAAGGCGUUAUUUCUCCACUUUAGAGUGAGUCCCAGAAAUGAAAAGAAAAAAAGUGUAUGACCAAAGAUCUGCUCCAUGCUCCACAUUACCUCCAUGCAGGCUAAUGAGGACACAGCGUCAUGCACCUAAUGGGAUUUUUUGUUUAACUUGAUAAACUUGUCAAAUAUAAGGACUUAGAUGACAUUGGAAAGGAAGAUGCUGGAAUAUAAAAAGAACUUUCAAUGAAGAGUCCACAUGUGGAGGAACCCAAUGGAGGCAGUUUUAAGAGGGUGAAGCAUGUACUCUUCAAUCUGCAGUAUCAAAUUUACAAUUGGCAUUCUAUUUAAAUUUCGCUGAAGAAAAAUUAAGGAAACCAUUAAAGUUUCAGGGCUGAUAGCUAAACAAUGAGCAGAAACUAACAGGUGCCCAUUACAGUAAUAAUCUACAACUAAUUUGUUCGAAUAAACUGUGUAUUUUCUAAGUUGAGGUCAACAUUGUUAAGCCUUGGGAACUGCAGCAUACAGUUGCGGGUAUGGUAAAUUAACUAGCACACAAAAAUAGGGACACUUCCCUAUUGUUUAUUCCAAAUUAGAGCUUUCCAAGUAGUUGCCAGCGAGGGAGCAGAGGCUCAUAGCUGAAUGACAGGGACACGCUCUUUUGGACACACAAAAAAACAACAACAGUUCCGUCAACACAGUUUCAAGACAAAUAUACCUGCCUGAUGAAUUAUCAUCCCAGUCAUUGUUAGUAGAUUCAUAGUUCAUCUGUAACUUAUGCUGCUGGGUAUGGAGCAUCAUAGCAACAUCAUUACAUUACAGGUCAUUUAGCUGACACUUUUAUCCAAAGCAACUUACAUUGCAUUUUUAACCCAUGGUUUUUACAUUUUGCCCUGGGAGCAAUUAGGGGUUAGGCAUCUUGCUCAGGGACACUUCGACAUGGGUGAGCCAGGGUUUGAACUGCCAACCUUGGGCUUCCCAGCGCACCCUCUAGACUCCACGCGCCACCCAUGAACCUGCAGUUUGAAUCACGGCCAGCAACGUGUCAAUCGUGACGUUUCUGUCUCUGCUGCAAAAAAGCCAUUUUCAAAUGUUACACCAAGUCUCUUUCCCUCUCACGAUGCACGUUUUUAUCAUUCGGAUAACAACAGAUGGUACCACUUUAGUUUAAAGACACAGCACCCUUGAGAUAGUUUUGUAAUGUUAAUGCAUUUUGCCAUGUUCCCCAAUAUCAAUGGACCUCUCUGCCACCAGUGCACGGUCUAUCAUAAGGGACAGGCCCUUUACCUUUGGUGAGCAAGGGUUUUUCACCCCUGCACAUAAACAUUUGAGAUUUGCACUUCAGCUUGCCACCUAAUCAAUUGUUACUAUCUGUAAGUAUCUGGAAUAUGUACUUUGCAUUGCAGUUUUGAUAAUCAAAAGUUCUUUUCAUGGGCUUAGUUGGGGGUUUGCUGUCUUGUCUUGAUUUAAGAGUUAGGUAAGGGGGGAAGCAGGAUGUGCCAAGCAGGCAGACACGAGUCUGACAAGAUGGGGAGUCAGUUUCUGUCCUGGCUGAGGAAUGCAAGGUCUGCGGGUAAACUAGCAGAUUUGCCAGCCAAAGGGGGGUUUAGAGACACACCAACACUAUUCAACAUACACACUCUGUUCGCUGAUGUUUACGUUAAGUCAGGAGUCCGGACAGUGGAUGUGACCGGAUCUUUAGAUGCGGGGGGUGGAAGGUCCUCCUCUACGCCAGUUUAGGGCCAAUAGAAAUCUUUCCUUCUCUGUCUUUCAAGGGUUAUAAAACAUGAUGUUCUUGCUGAUGUUAGUUAGUUGUUCUUCCGGCCUCUGUGCUGCCUGAACUGCUCCUGCCUUUGCAAACGCAGCGCUGAUACUUGACCUGUGAUCUGACAAAUAAAUCUCCCAGAACGAGAGAAGUCGUUCGGCUGAAUUUUUGAUAACCCCAACCAGGCUCCAAUUCUUGAACAGGUAUUCUUACAGUUUGCAAUGCAAAGUACCUUUUGUGUAUGUUUAUGUCUGUUGUAUACACACAACACAUACACGUUCAGGGGUUAUAAAUAAAUUGUUAAAUAGUAGCUGUUUUUUUCUUUUGACUGUUAUAUAAGUGUGCGUAUAAAAGUGAACACAGUUUGGUAAACGAGAAGCAGAAAACUAAUAUAUGACAUAUCAGUUCAGUCUCAAAUCAAUGUGUAGCCAUUACAGAGAGACAAUUUCCCUCGUAGUAGAAGUUAGUAGUAAAAUAUAGUUCCACUUCACAAAGGAUCAUGGAAGAAUUGAGGGCAGGCAGAGUCACAUGAACACAUAUACAACGUCUAGACACAGUUUCAUUGUUAUUGAACUAUUCUGGAAAUAUUGACAAGAUAGAUUUUAUCUUUUGAUGGGAUCAAACUGCAGCUGCAAGCCCAUCUUGGGCUGAGAGACGUUUGGAGGCCUUUGCUUUCUUAUGCUACUUCUGCCACCUUUGCCUAAGUCACACCAAUCUUGGAAUUUGGGCAUUCGUUUGAUCUCAAAUACACUCCUGUUAAGUUUCAUGACACCCCAUCUUACCGGGGGCAUAAAGACGGAAAGGUCAAUGGCCUCCUCGUCACCUUAGCUUAGACCUUUAACCACACACAUUUACAAAUGUGUUCUUAAAUUCCAUCUCAACUACACAUUUGUACUGUGUUGUGACUGCACUUUUUGUGGUUGAGCCGCUGUAGCGGUUGGAUUUGACAUAUAAACAGAAAGAAAUGUGACGAAAGACAGUUCCUGGUUGGAGUUUGUGCUACAGUAGGUACAGUAUCUCCGGGACAUGGUACAUAACACAGACUGAUAAUACUAUUUGCCACUUUCACAGCUGGUAAUUACAAAAAUGUACAGUUGAGCUCAUUACUAACAGUGAAUUACAGAAGUGUGACAUUGUGCACUCAUUAGGUUUAAGCCUAUGUGCAUUGAUAAUCAGUGCUGCAGCAGUUAUGACAAAGGAAAUGAAGUAAAUUGGUGCUUUUUACUAUUUCUCACCAUGAAUAAUAUAUUUGUUUGAAUAUGAUUCUCUCCCUUCAGUAUUCAUGUUUAGCUGCAUUGCUAUAGUUAAUUGCAUAAUUAUUUUCCUGUCGUAUUGUUUUGUCAACCGGACAAAGAACUACAUUUCUAAUAUUAAUGCAAUUACAUUGACAAUAGGGAUGUAAUUAAAUUGGAGCCUGAAUAAUGUUGUUUGUAAUGGAAGUGAGCAUCACAUCACAUCACAGAGUCUUAGUCAUCCGGCUGCCCUGAUUGGCUCGCUAAUUAUCUGUCUGGCCAAUUGAUUAAUUAGUUGCCUGUAAUUAUUUUACUGAAGGCUGCAAAGUUCAAUCAUUUACUGAACAUCACAACUACGCUUCUGGUUAACUCAUUCUUUGCAUCAAAAAAAACAACAAUCUUUGAUUAAAUAACUGAAAGGGUAUGAUUGAUAAAGUGACUUUCUGGCUUACACACAAAGUAACUGACUGACCAAGCAUCUGACUAAAAAAAGCAUUUAUUACACACAGUUUGAUAUUUUGCUUGUUUUGCUUCACUCCUGCGUCCUUUCCUUGCAGUGAUCCAUCCUCAUUCACUUUAUCUCACACAAUUACCGCUCUGUUGCUAGGAGACAUCCGGGAGACAUUUCAUACGGGGUUGCUGUGGUCCUCAAGGUCUACAGCCGGCACACGGGUCUCUCCUGCAUGCGUGUCUUUGUGUGAUUAUUACACUGGCAGUCACGACUGCCGCUGCACACAGACAAAGGCAGGAUGAGCCGAUUGAAAGUCUGAGCGUUCAUCUUUAUGUAUCUUUUAUUGUAUCUCUCUUCCUCCAACAGCCUGUUCCCUCCUUGCUACUGUACUUUUCCCCUCUCUGUUGCCAUCCUCUCCCUAGAAUAUUUAAUCUCCCGAUGUCUUUGCUCUUUUCCAUCCCUACACAAUAUAGAAUGUUGGUAUAUUUGUCUUUGUGUCCAAAGCACAACAGCCUCCAACUCCUCAUACUUAUUUUCAUCAUUGGAAACACAUUUUUGAUCACUUAUUACCAAAACGAUUUCCAUGCGUUUCUCACACACUUUUCAGUUCAAAUGUUGUAAUUAAACAUUUAAUUUAAGUACAAUUAAAAUCAAGUCAACCUCUUAACUGUCUGCUUGUGAUAUUUGCGCUAUGAACCUCUAGCCUGAUCUCCAAAACCUGUUCGUAAAAAUGUAUACGAAAAUCUUGAACAUAAAAAAUUCGGAGUGAUACAUACUAAAUAAAUACGGACUACAACUGAUGACGUCAACCUAUUCAUAGUCAAUGGGGACCUGCACCCCUUAAACACACUUCGUGAAGUCUAACGAAGUAAAAUAAACGUGUUAUGAUUGCAUUUUUAACGAGAAAUCAAUGUUAACUUGUAAGAAUAGAAUACUAACCCUAACCCCCUCAAAAAAUCCAACAUGGCGGAGAGAUGUUCACUCAAGAAUCCAGCAUGGUCCGCCAUGUUGUUCACUCAAGGGGCGUGGUUAACCACCGCCAGUUCGUAUGUAUUGUUACAAAUUUGUAUGUUCAAGAUUUUCGUAUACAUUUUUACGAACAGGUUUUGGAGAUCACGUUGGAAUCCCAGCAUGCAUUUCAAGCUUCUUCUCCUCCGUAUUUAAAAUAAAAACUCACAUCAUAUCAUUCGACUCUAAUUUUCCCUGGUUUUUGAAAUAUGUAUAAAGUAAACAUAAUAUUAAUGCCAAUAAUAUUCAAUGUUCAGUUUAGCGCUGAAUUCAAUGAGUGCUGAAUACUCUCCUGACCGUGUUACAAAACGCUUUCUUUGCAUUGCCCGAAUUUCUACCUUUACAAUCCCAAACUUUUUGCCCCUCUGUUCUCUCCUCCUCGGACUACUUGUCAUAUGAGAUAAUUGCAAACCGUAAUGUAUUUAGUUAGUAAAUACAUGCUUAUUAUUUGGGCUUGUAAAAGAGAGGUUUUGAGUUGUGUCAUAAAAAUGGUAAAAAAAUGGCAUGGAUAAGGUUUGCCAAAAGCAACAUUAUGGUACAAGGUUUUUACAAAAUCCGUUAUAAUGUUCCAUUCUACAAUUUUGCAAUUUCAUAAUUACAACUACGUAGGUUAAAAUUUGUUGGAUUGUUGUGAGUGUCAAUAUGUUUGGACCAUGAUGUGUCAUGAAAUACAUUUUAAACAUUAUAUUCUUUUCCUAUCAACAGAAUAUAUGACAAAACACACUUAUGGAUGAUCUUUUUCACCCUCUCUCUCCCAUAUUGUUUGCACAGGAAUUAUAAUAUAACAAUGUGUCCUGAGGCAUCGGGCGAAAAUUUUUCUAUUUAGAACCGAGAUCAAAACAGUUGAAGAAACUUUAAUUCUUUAUGUUGGCGGCGGCGUUGAUUACAACAUUGUAAACUUUGACAUUUACUGCCUUAGGGUUGGGAGGGGGCGUUAGGGGAGAUGGAGAGAUUUAAAAUCAAGAUAAUAGGCUCGGCAGUUGUGUGCAUUACUCUGCUGCCCCGACCCAAUGUACCCACAGCAAGAUCAUUUCCAUCCCCUGCCAAUACAGCCCAGCGGAUUGAGGCGGUAGAGGUCUAAAUCAGUACGAGCGCUCAACCUUCAGCAUUAGCCGCCCCGCCAGGAUUUCCUGAAAACAACGUGGAACUCGGAGGGGCAUCUUUUUUUUUCCGUGGCUGACUAUUGAUGCAGUAGUUAUGUGUGUUGGAUGGAUAUGCUGUAACAGAACAAAGCAAAGAGAGAGGGAAACAAAGACAAAACUGCCAUCAGCCCGAUAGAGAUUUCGAUGCAAUCAUUUCCCAACACCAGAACAACAGACUAUCCCCAAGUACACAUAACGCCAGUGACAAAAAGCUGGAUUCGCAAUCUUUUCUAUAUGUCUGAAUGUAAUUGGAAAUUUUAGAUAUCAACGAAACAAAAGGGUGUUUGGGUUCUUUUAAAAAGCAGGCCGAUCAAUAAUCUCACUGAUAUUAUCCGGCUUUCAGACAUGUUUUCCUUUUGCAAUAUAUUUGUCCGUCUGAUUCUGUUUCCCCUUCAGUAUAUCUUAAUCGAUUCCUGCACUUCCUUAUGUUGUUUGUCUGUCUCUCUUCUAUUGUCUCUCCUGUCUCUUUCUUUCUUUUUUCUGUCGGUUCCUCCUGUGGAGACAUAUCCUCUCCGCUUGAUUGCUCUCUUCCGAUUUAUUCUCCUUGGGUGGUGUUUGUCAGGGGUGGGAGGGCUGCAUGGGUGUUUGUUAGUGGGCGUCAAAACAAGUAGAACGCUGCCUUUCAACGCUUUUGACAGCUCUCAAUUCUGCUGAUUGUGUUUGUGCCUGAACAUUUUCACCUGCUGUUUCUACCGUCUACCAGGCUGUUAUGCCCGGCCACCCUGACAGGGCUCUCUAAUAAAGAUUAUACAAUCCAAAUAACCUCGUACAUUUAAGAAAUUAGACAGAUUGGGUUGAUCCUGGACUUUAAAAAGCUAUACGUCCACUUACGUCCAUGUCCAUGGUAUUCAGAAAUCGAAGAGACAAAUCUUUAUUCUAAAAUGAUACAAUUUAACAUAGUGUGCGUCAACAAAUUGAAAUGCUUUAUUCUAUUUGGUCAAUUAAGUAUUGCACGAAGCAGUGUGUGUUUUAUCACAAGCAGAGGAGACAUUCACAUUGACAGUAACCUUUUACAGAGAACUAGAGCCCCAGAUUUUGAACCACAACCAUUUCAUGAUAAAGUCUCUUAUCAUAAUUCCAAACGUGAAUAAUGCUUUUGUUCUGCAGCUUAUCUUGUUUACAUGUUUUACAUAACUAAAAGUGUACAGAACGGAUUAAGUGAUAUAUUUAGCUCCUCAAAUGCAUCUGUAGCUAACUUAGCAUCCUUAGAAUGGCUUAACAUGGCAGUAGAUGAAACCAUUUCAUUGUCAUCAAACCAGUUAUUUAGCUGGAUAGUUAAUGGUUCAAAUGUUGACAUGAAAAUAAACAAAAGCCCCCCCCAAAAAAUAAAUGCCAAAAAUGAUUUUGCUGUUUAUCCGGAUCCUGUUUAAUGUGAGUCUUGUUGGGUCUCCGUAUGUAGUAUUUCACUUUUUCCCCUUCUGUCCUUUCCUAAUCCUCUCUUUGAUGUUAUUCUCCACCAUGCUCUGUCUGAUAACUCAACAUCUAAAGGUAAUCUUGAAAAGGAAAGAAUGACGCAUGUACAGCUAUGAGCGAGUAUAUGGAAUAGGUGGUGGGCAAGACGAAGAGAGAGAUGGAGGGCGUUGUGGUUUCAUUAUAAAGUAAUCACCAAGAAGAAAGGUCAGGCAGCUGUUACAACAUCUAUAAAACACCGAAGAGACGGAGAAUGACAGGAAGGGAGAGGGAGAUAAAGAGAGAGAAGGGAGACCCAUCAGCUGACGGGAAAGACAGAAAGGUAUAGGUGAGUUGCACUUAAUGAUAUAGCCAUGAAAUACUGCCAGAAGAAAACUGUCAGUAAGGAGGCAUUCUGAGGUAAAGUGGAAGAAAAGGGAUGGAGAUGGAAUGGCCUUGAUGCAGAGGCAUUAUACCACGGCUCCUUUUAGGCUUUCAGGUAAAGCACAUAUAUUUUUUUACAUUUAAUGAUAAUAAAAUACCAGAUGAACGAAAAAAGAAUCCCUACAUAUAGCAGGAGACUGACUGACCUGUCAGCAGAAUAAACAUAAAUGGCAUGCAUGUACAAAGUAACAAUGAAAGUCAACACAACACAGAUAAAAGUGCUGCUCCACAGCAUUGGCCUCAGUGGGGCCACUUUUUGGCUGGAUGACACUGUAUUGCAAGACACUCCUACAUCAGCAUGCACUAGUCUGCAGCCUCUAAUGUGAGAAAUGUGCUCUGCAUCUCAAAAGCGCCAUGUAAUUAUGCAUGCUCGUGUGGUUGCAGUCAUUUCAUCUUGCAGCACGCUACCAGGCUCGAUCAGAAAGUACACAACCCUCUGUCUCUUCUGCAAACCAAUCUAGAAAGGUACAGUGCAGAUCUCUGCCAGGUGUCUCUUUUAAUGACCACCGCUGUAUAGCGGGAUUUCAUGAAAACAAGCCACUAUUGGAUAAUGCCCUGCUGGUGUUUCCAAUGUGUUUUUUAACAUGCAUGUUACACACAACAGAUGCACUUCAUACAACAGCUCCAAAAAGGUGCUUGUCCGCUUAGCAGCACCUGAAUGGCGGCAGUGUGUUCCCUCGUGGUUCCGUUAGCUGCUAGUUGUUGGCCAUACACACCGGCCAAAACAGUAACAGCGUGCAAACUUUUCCACCCCAAUGUGUCUCUGGUCACAGACUAAAAUAUUGUGAAACAGAAUGUCACAUUAGCUGUGGACAAACACAGGGGCACACUCACUCACUCACUGAGUCACGGAUGCACAGACUAACACAGUCACAGUUACUCACUGUCAGGGACGCACACACGCGACCCAUCACAUGGACCUUCUGGCAGAGGUAUUGGUUAGAGAACAGAAGGGGUCCUUAGUGGGUUUCCACAGCUCCAUAAAUUCCCUUGGGUACUGAAACAUACACACAUGGCUUCCGCAUCCAUGCACACCAUGCAAACAGAUCCCAUGUCUACCAACGAGAUCUCCAAAACCUGUUCAUGAAAAUGUAUACGAAAAUCUUGAACAUACAAAUUCGUAACAAUACAUACAAACUGGCGGUGGUUAACCACGCCCCUUGAGUGAACAACAUGGCGGACCAUGUUGGAUUCUUGAGUGAACGUCUCUCCGCCAUGUUGGAUUUUUCGAGGGGGUUAGGGUUAGUAUUGUAUUCUUACAAUUUAACAUUGAUUUCUCGUUAAAAAUGCAAUCAUAACACGUUUAUUUUACGUCGUUAGACUUCACGAAGUGUGUUUACAGGGUGCAGGUCCCCAUUCACUUUGAAUAGGGUGACGUCAUCAGUUGCAGUCCGUAUUUAUUUAGUAUGUAUCACUAUGAAUUUGUAUGUUCAAACUUUUCGUAUACAUUUUGCGGAACAGGUUUUGGAGAUCAGGCUGUGUCUACAUAGUGUUUAUUCCUUUAGUUUUAAAUUCUGAACUCUGUUUAUAUUGUAUGGAAAUAAUCUACAGUAUCCAAACAUACAGAAUAUUAUUAUAAUCCGAACAAUAUUGUGAGUGCAGAGAGUUUGGCAUUAGGAUUCAUUCACACUCAAUCGUUGAUAAUUCACCUCAGGCUGUAGGGUUUGUCACAAGGGAGAAAAAAAACAAAACGUAUUAGUUAAAGUCCUUGUAUAGU
Molecule: long non-coding RNA, 16150 nt
Organism: Gasterosteus aculeatus aculeatus (three-spined stickleback)
Lineage: Eukaryota; Metazoa; Chordata; Actinopteri; Perciformes; Gasterosteidae
Source: Ensembl